RNAcentral lists this ribosomal RNA (2758 nucleotides) under Klebsiella pneumoniae MGH 75. Its description in RNAcentral is "bacterial LSU rRNA". It matches the Rfam family "Bacterial large subunit ribosomal RNA". The record is from RNAcentral. Lineage: Bacteria; Pseudomonadati; Pseudomonadota; Gammaproteobacteria; Enterobacterales; Enterobacteriaceae.
CACUAUCGUUAACUGAAUACAUAGGUUAACGAGGCGAACCGGGGGAACUGAAACAUCUAAGUACCCCGAGGAAAAGAAAUCAACCGAGAUUCCCCCAGUAGCGGCGAGCGAACGGGGAGCAGCCCAGAGUCUGAAUCAGCUUGUGUGUUAGUGGAACGGUCUGGAAAGUCCGACGGUACAGGGUGAUAGUCCCGUACACCAAAAUGCACAGGUUGUGAACUCGAAGAGUAGGGCGGGACACGUGGUAUCCUGUCUGAAUAUGGGGGGACCAUCCUCCAAGGCUAAAUACUCCUGACUGACCGAUAGUGAACCAGUACCGUGAGGGAAAGGCGAAAAGAACCCCGGCGAGGGGAGUGAAAAAGAACCUGAAACCGUGUACGUACAAGCAGUGGGAGCACCUUCGGGUGUGACUGCGUACCUUUUGUAUAAUGGGUCAGCGACUUAUAUUCUGUAGCAAGGUUAACCGUAUAGGGGAGCCGCAGGGAAACCGAGUCUUAACUGGGCGUUAAGUUGCAGGGUAUAGACCCGAAACCCGGUGAUCUAGCCAUGGGCAGGUUGAAGGUUGGGUAACACUAACUGGAGGACCGAACCGACUAAUGUUGAAAAAUUAGCGGAUGACUUGUGGCUGGGGGUGAAAGGCCAAUCAAACCGGGAGAUAGCUGGUUCUCCCCGAAAGCUAUUUAGGUAGCGCCUCGUGAAUUCAUCUUCGGGGGUAGAGCACUGUUUCGGCUAGGGGGUCAUCCCGACUUACCAACCCGAUGCAAACUACGAAUACCGAAGAAUGUUAUCACGGGAGACACACGGCGGGUGCUAACGUCCGUCGUGAAGAGGGAAACAACCCAGACCGCCAGCUAAGGUCCCAAAGUCAUGGUUAAGUGGGAAACGAUGUGGGAAGGCACAGACAGCCAGGAUGUUGGCUUAGAAGCAGCCAUCAUUUAAAGAAAGCGUAAUAGCUCACUGGUCGAGUCGGCCUGCGCGGAAGAUGUAACGGGGCUAAACCAUGCACCGAAGCUGCGGCAGCGACACUAUGUGUUGUUGGGUAGGGGAGCGUUCUGUAAGCCUGCGAAGGUGACCUGUGAGGGUUGCUGGAGGUAUCAGAAGUGCGAAUGCUGACAUAAGUAACGAUAAAGCGGGUGAAAAGCCCGCUCGCCGGAAGACCAAGGGUUCCUGUCCAACGUUAAUCGGGGCAGGGUGAGUCGACCCCUAAGGCGAGGCCGAAAGGCGUAGUCGAUGGGAAACAGGUUAAUAUUCCUGUACUUGGUGUUACUGCGAAGGGGGGACGGAGAAGGCUAUGUUAGCCGGGCGACGGUUGUCCCGGUUUAAGCAUGUAGGCUGGUUGUCCAGGCAAAUCCGGAUAAUCAAGGCUGAGGUGUGAUGACGAGGCACUACGGUGCUGAAGUAACAAAUGCCCUGCUUCCAGGAAAAGCCUCUAAGCAUCAGGUAACAUUAAAUCGUACCCCAAACCGACACAGGUGGUCAGGUAGAGAAUACCAAGGCGCUUGAGAGAACUCGGGUGAAGGAACUAGGCAAAAUGGUGCCGUAACUUCGGGAGAAGGCACGCUGGUGUGUAGGUGAAGCCCCUGCGGGUGGAGCUGAGACCAGUCGAAGAUACCAGCUGGCUGCAACUGUUUAUUAAAAACACAGCACUGUGCAAACACGAAAGUGGACGUAUACGGUGUGACGCCUGCCCGGUGCCGGAAGGUUAAUUGAUGGGGUUAUCCGUAAGGAGAAGCUCUUGAUCGAAGCCCCGGUAAACGGCGGCCGUAACUAUAACGGUCCUAAGGUAGCGAAAUUCCUUGUCGGGUAAGUUCCGACCUGCACGAAUGGCGUAAUGAUGGCCAGGCUGUCUCCACCCGAGACUCAGUGAAAUUGAACUCGCUGUGAAGAUGCAGUGUACCCGCGGCAAGACGGAAAGACCCCGUGAACCUUUACUAUAGCUUGACACUGAACAUUGAGCCUUGAUGUGUAGGAUAGGUGGGAGGCUUUGAAGCGUGGACGCCAGUCUGCGUGGAGCCAACCUUGAAAUACCACCCUUUAAUGUUUGAUGUUCUAACGUUGGCCCCUGACCGGGGUUGCGGACAGUGUCUGGUGGGUAGUUUGACUGGGGCGGUCUCCUCCCAAAGCGUAACGGAGGAGCACGAAGGUUAGCUAAUCCUGGUCGGACAUCAGGAGGUUAGUGCAAUGGCAUAAGCUAGCUUGACUGCGAGCGUGACGGCGCGAGCAGGUGCGAAAGCAGGUCAUAGUGAUCCGGUGGUUCUGAAUGGAAGGGCCAUCGCUCAACGGAUAAAAGGUACUCCGGGGAUAACAGGCUGAUACCGCCCAAGAGUUCAUAUCGACGGCGGUGUUUGGCACCUCGAUGUCGGCUCAUCACAUCCUGGGGCUGAAGUAGGUCCCAAGGGUAUGGCUGUUCGCCAUUUAAAGUGGUACGCGAGCUGGGUUUAGAACGUCGUGAGACAGUUCGGUCCCUAUCUGCCGUGGGCGCUGGAGAAUUGAGGGGGGCUGCUCCUAGUACGAGAGGACCGGAGUGGACGCAUCACUGGUGUUCGGGUUGUCAUGCCAAUGGCACUGCCCGGUAGCUAAAUGCGGAAGAGAUAAGUGCUGAAAGCAUCUAAGCACGAAACUUGCCCCGAGAUGAGUUCUCCCUGAGACUUUAAGUCUCCUGAAGGAACGUUGAAGACGACGACGUUGAUAGGCCGGGUGUGUAAGCGCAGCGAUGCGUUGAGCUAACCGGUACUAAUGAACCGUGAGGCUUAACCUU